Thalassophryne amazonica is the source of this 99-nucleotide long non-coding RNA. RefSeq lists it as uncharacterized. The record is from RefSeq and is a predicted model, not a curated record. The transcript has 4 exons. NCBI's taxonomy places the organism in Eukaryota, Metazoa, Chordata, Actinopteri, Batrachoidiformes, Batrachoididae.
AGGUUUUUACAGAUUGAGCAAAAGUUUAUUUACAAACAAACGAGCAACAAAAACGGAAUCCUUAAUUGAAAAUACAGUGAAGUCCAUGUUGUGUCACUA